This 445-nucleotide ribosomal RNA is filed under the name Opaliopsis sp. TT-2014. RNAcentral's name for it is "partial 16S rRNA". It matches the Rfam family "Bacterial large subunit ribosomal RNA", at positions 1825 to 2561 of the family's 2925-position model. Lineage: Eukaryota; Metazoa; Mollusca; Gastropoda; Nystiellidae. The record is from RNAcentral.
GGCUCCUCGAAGAGAAUAUAUGGGGAGUCUGGCCUGCCCGGUGAUAUGUUUAACGGCCGCGGUACCCUGACUGUGCGAAGGUAGCAUAAUCAUUUGCUUUAUAAUUGAGGGCUUGUAUGAAUGGUUUGACAAGAGUUUAGCUGUCUCCUUUUAAUUAUUUAGAAUUUAACUUUUAAGUGAAGAGGCUUAAAUUUGAUUAAUAGACAAGAAGACCCUAUUGAGCUUUAGAUGAAUGGUUGAUAUCUGCAUAAAUAAUCUUUGGUUGGGGCGAUUAAGGAACAAAAAAAGCUUCUUUGGUUAAAAAUCUUGCGGGUUCUGAUCCAUUAUUGGUGAUUAAAGGAAUAAGUUACCAUAGGGAUAACAGCGUAAUUUUACCUGAGAGUUCUUAUUGAAGGGAAAGAUUGCGACCUCGAUGUUGGACUAAAGUGUCCUAAAGGUGCAGAAG